UCCGAGUUGACCCCGGCAGUCUCCUAUGAGUCCCCGGCAUGAUCCGCUGGCAACAUAGGACGAGGGUUGCGCUCGUUGCGGGACUUAACCCAACAUCUCACGACACGAGCUGACGACAGCCAUGCACCACCUGUAUACCGACCUUGCGGGGGCUACAUCUCUGCAGCUUUCCGGUAUAUGUCAAACCCAGGUAAGGUUCUUCGCGUUGCAUCGAAUUAAAGAACAUGCUCCGCUGCUUGUGCGGGCCCCCGUCAAUUCUUUUGAGUUUUAGCCUUGCGGCCGUACUCCCCAGGCGGAACACUUAUCGCGUUGGCUGCGGCACGGAGGGAUUCGACUCCCCACACCUAGCACCCAACGUUUACGGCUGGGACUAC
Molecule: unclassified non-coding RNA, 374 nt
Filed under: uncultured Actinomycetes bacterium
Lineage: Bacteria; Bacillati; Actinomycetota; Actinomycetes
Description: uncultured actinobacterium contains 16S-23S intergenic spacer region
Source: RNAcentral